This 961-nucleotide ribosomal RNA is filed under the name Scoliciosporum curvatum. Its description in RNAcentral is "SSU rRNA". It matches the Rfam family "Bacterial small subunit ribosomal RNA", at positions 370 to 1301 of the family's 1533-position model. The record is from RNAcentral. Lineage: Eukaryota; Fungi; Ascomycota; Lecanoromycetes; Lecanorales; Lecanoraceae.
AAUAGCCUAACGGCUGAACCAGCAACUUGGAGGAACAGAUAGCGCAAGCUAUUUGCAUUAACUAAUGCAGAAUCGACUUCGUUGAAUAAAGUUCCAGAUAGAAUUUGAUAAUGACAUAGCCUAUCUGAAUUUCUUGACCAAAUUACGUGCCAGCUGUCGCGGUAAUACGUAGAAGAUUAGUGUUAUUCAUCUUUAAUAGGUUUAAAGGGUACCUAGACGGUAAACCAAGCCAAUGUGGGACUAGUUUGCUAGAGUUUAUAUGGGCGGGAGCAUUAAAGUACUAGUGGUGUAGAGAUAGAAUAUUUUGAUACCUUAUCCUUUACGGGGUGACAUGGCACUGAUAACGGCGAAAGCAUCUCCUUAUGUAACAACUGACGUUGAGGGACGAAGGCUUUGUGUAGCAAUCAGGAUUAGAUACCCUGGUAGUCGAAGCAGAAAAUUAUGAGUGUUAUAGAUUAGAUUAACUUACUAAUAAUGCUAGUUAGAGAGAUCUCUAAGUCAUCUAUUAGUUUGUUGAAAAUGUAUAAAUUAAAGUGUAAGCAUUCCACCUCAAGAGUAAUAUGGCAACAUCGGAACUGAAACCAUUAGACCGUUUCUGAAACCAGUAGUGAAGUAUGUUGUUUAAUUUGAUGAUCCGCAAAAAACCUUACCACAGUUUGAAUAUUUAGAUUUGAGAUAUCUUCAGGUUGACCCCUGAAGAUAAGAUCUAUUUACAAGCGCUGCACGGUUGUCUUCAGUUAAUGUCGCGAGACUUUGGUUAGUUCCAUUAAAUUAACGUAAGCCCUUGCUUUAUUUUUAGAUAAAGUUGCUCACCCAUUACAUCGGGUACUGAUAAUAGGGAAUAAGGCAAAUCAUCAUGGCCUAAAUACUGUGGGCUAUAGACGUGCCACGUAAUCCUAACAAAAGGGUGUGAAAUCGCGAGAUUGAGCUAAUCCCCCAAAUACGGAUAUACACUAACAAU